UUUUUAUUUGCAACGGAAGUGAUCGGGUGUUAAGUAAAAACGCAAGGGGGGCGGGAGAUAGGACCAAAGCCUUGGGGCGCAGCCUGCCCCACCCCCAAAUUCCUUGAGGCUACUUGCUGUGUGUGUCAGUCAACCCCCCACCCACACCCCACCUUUCCUCAUCUGGGCUGCAGGUCCAGGACAUCCUGUCAAGGAUCAGUGGGGCCAAAGGUGGGAAGAUAAUGGCCCUUGUGUCUCAAGCAGAAGAAACAGUUUUCCAGUUUUGUUUUGUUAUGCUUUUGCUUUUUUAGGAAGAAUAUGGAAGGCAUUUCCUUUUAGAAAGAUGGGACCACUUAGGAUGGAAGAUGGACAGUAGGGUUUUAAAUAUCUUGUCCAAAAGGACAGCUUCCAACUCUUGUUUUUUAAUCCCUUUCUUUCUUACAAGUAAUUCUGCAAUGGAAAAAGUGGCAUCUAGAGAAAAUUAGUCAGUUGGACAAGAGGUUGUUGAAAAAAUAAAAGAGAAAAGAGGGGAAAAAAGGAAAAAUUAGGCCUCUUACAAAAGUUAAAAAGAUUGAGAGAGAUUAUCUUUCUUCUUUUAUAUUCUCACUAUCGUCUCUCUAGUCCGGGCUCCUGUUUCUUCAUAAUCUAUUUAUCACAACAGCUUCUUGCUGAUACUAGGCAUGGGUGGGGUGGGGAGCGUGAGCCGGAUGGAUUGGGGACGGGCGGGGACUGGUUCCCACCCUGGUCUUGUGGUCUCUUCACGUUUACUAUCAAAUUUGGACAGUCUGGGCCUCCUCUGACAGCCGCUAGGGGACCUCAGUAACUCAGAUGAUGAGCUCAAAGGCAGGCCCCCAAAGUACAGCUGUUGCUUCCCCCCACCUUUCCAAUUACACUCUGCAGAAGCAGCCCCCGAUCCAGACAGCCGCACCCUAAAAAUAGGCGGUGCCCUACUGGAUCAUUCUUGGCAAAGGAAGCCAGCUUCAAAUUUGGCCUUGCCUUCAUUUCUAUUCCGGUUUUUCAGGGCGUCAGAGAAUAUUUAUUUGGUUAAAGGAGUCUUCCUACAGACUUUCCCCAAAUCCUUGAAAUCUUUGAGGCUCUCCUGCCCAAUUGUUUCUUCAAAUGUCAUAGUUUACUUUUAUUUGGUCUUUCUUUAAAAAAAUUGACGAGGCAGGCACAGAGAACCUAUAACACCAAUGUCCCUGACACAUAGGUCCAAAAAAUUAAAAAUAUAUAUUGAAGGGUUUUUACAGCUAACCACCACACUGUUGUAUCUAAAUAUCAAUUUACUGAACCCCAGGAUGUUGGUGAAUAUUUCACUUGUUUCCAGUCUUUAGCUAUCAUAGACUAUUCUGUAAGAAAUAACCUUGCAGGGAGGCCGAGGCGGGCGGAUCAUGAGGUCAGGAGA
RNAcentral lists this long non-coding RNA (1384 nucleotides) under Homo sapiens (human). Its description in RNAcentral is "non-protein coding lnc-SLC25A15-6:1". The record is from RNAcentral. Lineage: Eukaryota; Metazoa; Chordata; Mammalia; Primates; Hominidae.